RNAcentral lists this ribosomal RNA (865 nucleotides) under uncultured bacterium. RNAcentral's name for it is "bacterial SSU rRNA". It matches the Rfam family "Bacterial small subunit ribosomal RNA", at positions 58 to 916 of the family's 1533-position model. The record is from RNAcentral.
CAAGUCGAACGGCAGCACGGACUUCGGUCUGGUGGCGAGUGGCGAACGGGUGAGUAAUAUACCGGAACGUAUCCAAUAAUGGGGGAUAACUAAUCGAAAGGUUGGCUAAUACCGCAUACGCCCUACGGGGGAAAGCUAGGGACCUUCGGGCCUGGCGUUAAUGGAGCGGCCGAUAUCUGAUUAGCUAGUUGGUGGGGUAAAGGCUCACCAAGGCGACGAUCAGUAGCUGGUCUGAGAGGACGACCAGCCACACUGGAACUGAGACACGGUCCAGACUCCUACGGGAGGCAGCAGUGGGGAAUUUUGGACAAUGGGCGCAAGCCUGAUCCAGCCAUUCCGCGUGAGUGAAGAAGGCCUUCGGGUUGUAAAGCUCUUUCGCAGGGGAAGAAAACUUAUCCUCUAACAUAGGAUGAGGUUGGCGGUACCUUGAUAAGAAGCACCGGCUAACUACGUGCCAGCAGCCGCGGUAAUACGUAGGGUGCGAGCGUUAAUCGGAAUUACUGGGCGUAAAGCGUGCGCAGGCGGUUUUGAAAGUCAGAUGUGAAAUCCCCGAGCUCAACUUGGGAACUGCGUUUGAAACUCCAAAACUCGAAUAUGUCAGAGGGGGGUAGAAUUCCACGUGUAGCAGUGAAAUGCGUAGAGAUGUGGAGGAAUACCGAUGGCGAAGGCAGCCCCCUGGGAUAAUAUUGACGCUCAUGCACGAAAGCGUGGGGAGCAAACAGGAUUAGAUACCCUGGUAGUCCACGCCCUAAACGAUGUCUACUAGUUGUUGGUGGAGUAAAAUCCAUGAGUAACGCAGCUAACGCGUGAAGUAGACCGCCUGGGGGAGUACGGUCGCAAGAUUAAAACUCAAAUGAAUUGACGG